RNAcentral lists this ribosomal RNA (492 nucleotides) under uncultured bacterium. Its description in RNAcentral is "partial 16S ribosomal RNA". It matches the Rfam family "Bacterial small subunit ribosomal RNA", at positions 29 to 507 of the family's 1533-position model. The record is from RNAcentral.
AGUGAACGCUGGCGGUAGGCCUAACACAUGCAAGUCGAACGGCAGCACAGUAAGAGCUUGCUCUUACGGGUGGCGAGUGGCGGACGGGUGAGGAAUACAUCGGAAUCUACUUUUUCGUGGGGGAUAACGUAGGGAAACUUACGCUAAUACCGCAUACGACCUACGGGUGAAAGCAGGGGAUCUUCGGACCUUGCGCGAUUGAAUGAGCCGAUGUCGGAUUAGCUAGUUGGCGGGGUAAAGGACCACCAAGGCGACGAUCCGUAGCUGGUCUGAGAGGAUGAUCAGCCACCCUGGAACUUGGACACGGUCCAGACUCCUACGGGAGGCAGCAGUGGGGAAUAUUGGACAAUGGGCGCAAGCCUGAUCCAGCCAUACCGCGUGGGUGAAGAAGGCCUUCGGGUUGUAAAGCCCUUCUGUUGGGAAAGAAAAGCAGCAGGUUAAGACCCCGCUGUUCUGACGGUACCCAAAGAAUAAGCACCGGCUAACUUCGUG